GUGGAUUAGAUACCCUAGUAGUCCAUGCCGUAAACGAUGUCUACUAGCCGUUGGGGCCUUUGAGGCUUUAGUGGCGCAGCUAACGCGAUAAGUAGACCGCCUGGGGAGUACGGUCGCAAGACUAAAACUCAAAUGAAUUGACGGGGGCCCGCACAAGCGGUGGAGCAUGUGGUUUAAUUCGAUGCAACGCGAAGAACCUUACCUGGCCUUGACAUACUAAGAACUUUCCAGAGAUGGAUUGGUGCCUUCGGGAACUUAGAUACAGGUGCUGCACGGUCGUCGACAACU
Molecule: ribosomal RNA, 288 nt
Filed under: uncultured bacterium
Lineage: Bacteria
Description: partial 16S ribosomal RNA
Rfam family: Bacterial small subunit ribosomal RNA
Source: RNAcentral